UAGCUCUACUUGGAAAAACUGCCUCUUACUGCCACAAAUUGAACUGCAUUUCACUGACUACACUGACUUCAGGGAUGAGCAGAACUGAACGGAAUUGCGCAAACACAACUAAACUUUACUCCAUUCAACUGAACUGCACGUAACUGGACUGAACUGCAAUGAGUUGAACUCAUCUCAAUUCCCCUACAUUACCUGAACUUAACUGAACUAUACUCAUUGAAUGGUCCUCCAUCCUGACUGCCCUUAAGUAGGCGAUCUUUUCCUGAAGGUUGGAGCAUGGCUUCCAGAUAGCAUGUAACAGUGGACUUUGGUAUAAAACCUACAGUGAUGUUUCAGUCAACGUGAGAUAACCAUGCAUUAAUACAUAACUAUUACAACUCAAUGCUAAGUUGUUCUAGACUGA
Molecule: small RNA, 403 nt
Filed under: Rattus norvegicus (Norway rat)
Lineage: Eukaryota; Metazoa; Chordata; Mammalia; Rodentia; Muridae
Description: uncharacterized LOC108351622
Source: RNAcentral